GACGAACGCUGGCGGCGUGCUUAACACAUGCAAGUCGAACGGAAAGACCCUGCUCUUGUGGGUUGCUCGAUUGGCGAACGGGUGAGUAACACGCGAGUAACCCGUCCUUGACUUUGGGAUAAAUUCAGGAAACUCGGGCUAAUACCGGAUAGAAGCUCCUGCUCCACGGUGGGGGUUGGAAAGUUUCGGCGGUUGUGGCUGGACUCGCGGCUUAUCAGCCUGUUGGUGGGGUAGUGGCUUACCAAGGCUUUGACGGGUAGCCGGCCUGGGAGGGUUAACGGCGACAUUGGGACUGAGAGAGGGCGCAGACUGGUACGGGAGGCAGCAGUGGGGAAUAUUGCACAAUGGGCGGGAGCCUGAUGCGGCAACGCCGCGUGCGGGAUGACGGCCUUCGGGUUGUAAACCGCUGUCGCCUGUGACGAAGCGUGAGUGACGGUAAUGGGUAAAGAAGCACCGGCUAACUACGUG
This 468-nucleotide ribosomal RNA is filed under the name uncultured bacterium. RNAcentral describes it as "partial 16S ribosomal RNA". It matches the Rfam family "Bacterial small subunit ribosomal RNA", at positions 28 to 507 of the family's 1533-position model. The record is from RNAcentral.